GGAUGAACGCUGGCGGCGUGCCUAACACAUGCAAGUCGAACGUGAUCUCUAUACUUGUAUAGGGUGAAAGUGGCGAACGGGUGAGUAACACGUUGGUGACCUGCCCCGAGGAGCGGGAUAACUCCUUGAAAGAGGAGCUAAUACCGCAGAUGACUGGACUGUUAGAGGGUCCAGCCUAAAGCUCAGGCGUCUCGGGAGGGGCCUGCGGGCUAUCAGCUAGUUGGUGGGGUAAGAGCCUACCAAGGCGAAGACGGCUAGGGGGCGUGAGAGCGUGACCCCCCACAAGGGAACUGAGAAACGGUCCCUACUCCUACGGGAGGCAGCAGUGAGGAAUAUUGAGCAAUGGGCGCAAGCCUGACUCAGCAACGCCGCGUGGAUGAAGAAGGCCUUCGGGUUGUAAAAUCCUUUUCUGAGGGACGAUAAUGACGGUACCUCAGGAAUAAGUUCCGGCUAACUACGUGCCAGCAGCCGCGGUAAAACGUAGGGGACAAGCGUUAUCCGGAUUUACUGGGCGCAAAGCGCCCGUAGGCGGCUUAACAAGUUGGAUGUGAAAGCUCCCGGCUUAACUGGGAGAGGUCAUUCAAAACUGUUAGGCUAGAGGAUGGAAGAGGAGAGCGGAAUUCCCGGUGUAGUGGUGGAAUGCGUAGAGAUCGGGAGGAACACCAGUGGCGAAAGCGGCUCUCUGGUUCACACCUGACGCUGAGGGGCGAAAGCGUGGGGAGCGAACGGGAUUAGAUACCCCGGUAGUCCACGCUGUAAACGAUGGAUACUAGGUGUAGAGGGUCAUUAACCCCCUCUGUGCCGCAGCUAACGCGUUAAGUAUCCCGCCUGGGGAGUACGGCCGCAAGGUUAAAACUCAAAGGAAUUGACGGGGGCCCGCACAAGCGGCGGAGCAUGUGGAUUAAUUCGAUGCAACGCGAAGAACCUUACCUGGGUUUGACAUGCACAGGACGCGUCUAGAGAUAGGCGUUCCCUUGUGGCCUGUGUGCAGGUGGUGCAUGGUUGUCGUCAGCUCGUGUCGUGAGAUGUUGGGUUAAGUCCCGCAACGAGCGCAACCCUUGUCUCAUGUUGCCAGCACGUCAUGGUGGGGACUCGUGAGAGACUGCCGGGGUCAACUCGGAGGAAGGUGGGGAUGACGUCAAGUCAUCAUGCCCCUUAUGUCCAGGGCUUCACACAUGCUACAAUGGCCGGUACAAAGGGCUGCGAUGCCGUGAGGUGGAGCGAAUCCUUUCAAAGCCGGUCUCAGUUCGGAUCGGGGUCUGCAACUCGACCCCGUGAAGUCGGAGUCGCUAGUAAUCGCAGAUCAGCAACGCUGCG
This 1317-nucleotide ribosomal RNA is filed under the name uncultured bacterium. RNAcentral describes it as "bacterial SSU rRNA". It matches the Rfam family "Bacterial small subunit ribosomal RNA", at positions 27 to 1361 of the family's 1533-position model. The record is from RNAcentral.